CCGUUUUUCAAAGCAAAUAAAGAAGCAGGACUGUUUAUAUUCUAAAUAUAUUAUUUCCACUCUUGUUUGUCUAAAUGUCAUUAGAGGAGAUGCCUUAUCUGAUACCAUUCUCCUUCUGCUAGAAACAGCUAGCGUGUUUGUUUUUGGCAGACAGAGCUGCUCAGAGCAUCAGGACAAGCUGCAGGUGCUAUCAGAGAGCGUUUUACUUCAAGUGAUGACUGGCAUCAAGAGACGUAGCCGGGAUGUCCUUCCCUCUGCACGGCAAUCCGCCCUGACUGUGCCGCUCGUGCUGCCUCUUGUAAGCCGUGGAGCUGCUUGUGCUGGAGAGCCUUGGGCAGGCCCCUGCUGAGCGUGCCACAGGGAUGCUGCUACUUUAUAUAACUUCUACCCUGUACCCUAAAGGUAGCAAUAAAGCUGGGUAACUUAAUGUAACA
RNAcentral lists this long non-coding RNA (434 nucleotides) under Anser brachyrhynchus (Pink-footed goose). RNAcentral's name for it is "lncRNA (ENSABRG00000016744.1)". The record is from RNAcentral. Lineage: Eukaryota; Metazoa; Chordata; Aves; Anseriformes; Anatidae.